RNAcentral lists this ribosomal RNA (466 nucleotides) under uncultured bacterium. RNAcentral's name for it is "partial 16S ribosomal RNA". It matches the Rfam family "Bacterial small subunit ribosomal RNA", at positions 28 to 508 of the family's 1533-position model. The record is from RNAcentral.
GACGAACGCUGGCGGCGUGCUUAACACAUGCAAGUCGUGCGGUAAGGCCCUUUCGGGGGUACACGAGCGGCGAACGGGUGAGUAACACGUGAGCAACCUGCCCUUCACUUUGGGAUAACUGCCGGAGCGGUGGCUAAUACCGGAUAUGACUUCCUCACGCAUGUGGGGUGGUGGAAAGCCUUCGGGUGGUGGGGGAUGGGCUCGCGGUCUAUCAGCUUGUUGGUGGGGUGAUGGCCUACCAAGGCUUCGACGGGUAGCCGGCCUGAGAGGGUGACCGGCCACACUGGGACUGAGACACGGCCCAGACUCCUACGGGAGGCAGCAGUGGGGAAUAUUGGACAAUGGGCGAAAGCCUGAUCCAGCAACGCCGCGUGAGGGAUGACGGCCUUCGGGUUGGAAACCUCUUUCGCCUGCGACGAAGCGAGAGUGACGGUAGCAGGUAAAGAAGCACCGGCCAACUACGUGC